GGGUCAGUAGGUUGGUCGUGCCACCGGUACGUACUGGUCUCACUGAUUCCUCCUUCCUGAAGAACCGUAAUGCCAUUAAUUUGGUGUUGCGGGGAAUCAGGACUGUUACUUUGAAAAAAUUAGAGUGUUUAAAGCAAGCUAACGCUUGAAUACAUUAGCAUGUAAUAAUGAAAUAGGACGAUCGAUCCUAUUUUGUUGGUUUCUAGGAUUGACGUAAUGAUUAUUAGGGAUAGUUGGU
RNAcentral lists this ribosomal RNA (238 nucleotides) under Glomeromycotina sp. RNAcentral's name for it is "partial small subunit ribosomal RNA". The stretch from base 40 to 238 matches the Rfam family "Eukaryotic small subunit ribosomal RNA", at positions 686 to 886 of the family's 1831-position model. The record is from RNAcentral. Lineage: Eukaryota; Fungi; Glomeromycota.